GAGAGUUUGAUCCUGGCUCAGAUUGAACGCUGGCGGCAGGCCUAACACAUGCAAGUCGAGCGGUAGAGAGAAGCUUGCUUCUCUUGAGAGCGGCGGACGGGUGAGUAAUGCCUAGGAAUCUGCCUGGUAGUGGGGGAUAACGUUCGGAAACGGACGCUAAUACCGCAUACGUCCUACGGGAGAAAGCAGGGGACCUUCGGGCCUUGCGCUAUCAGAUGAGCCUAGGUCGGAUUAGCUAGUUGGUGGGGUAAUGGCUCACCAAGGCGACGAUCCGUAACUGGUCUGAGAGGAUGAUCAGUCACACUGGAACUGAGACACGGUCCAGACUCCUACGGGAGGCAGCAGUGGGGAAUAUUGGACAAUGGGCGAAAGCCUGAUCCAGCCAUGCCGCGUGUGUGAAGAAGGUCUUCGGAUUGUAAAGCACUUUAAGUUGGGAGGAAGGGCAGUAAAUUAAUACUUUACUGUUUUGACGUUACCGACAGAAUAAGCACCGGCUAACUCUGUGCCAGCAGCCGCGGUAAUACAGAGGGUGCAAGCGUUAAUCGGAAUUACUGGGCGUAAAGCGCGCGUAGGUGGUUAGUUAAGUUGGAUGUGAAAUCCCCGGGCUCAACCUGGGAACUGCAUUCAAAACUGACUGACUAGAGUAUGGUAGAGGGUGGUGGAAUUUCCUGUGUAGCGGUGAAAUGCGUAGAUAUAGGAAGGAACACCAGUGGCGAAGGCGACCACCUGGACUGAUACUGACACUGAGGUGCGAAAGCGUGGGGAGCAAACAGGAUUAGAUACCCUGGUAGUCCACGCCGUAAACGAUGUCAACUAGCCGUUGGGAGCCUUGAGCUCUUAGUGGCGCAGCUAACGCAUUAAGUUGACCGCCUGGGGAGUACGGCCGCAAGGUUAAAACUCAAAUGAAUUGACNGGGGGCCCCCCACAAGCGGUGGA
This 936-nucleotide ribosomal RNA is filed under the name uncultured bacterium. RNAcentral describes it as "bacterial SSU rRNA". It matches the Rfam family "Bacterial small subunit ribosomal RNA", at positions 8 to 936 of the family's 1533-position model. The record is from RNAcentral.